AAAAAGACUUUUUUGAAAGUCACCUAAAGUAUUUUUUUAAACAAAAACCUACUAACUUGUUUUUAUUAAAAAAGACUUUUUUGAAAGUCACCUAAAGUAUUUUUUUAAACAAAA
This 114-nucleotide small RNA is filed under the name Helianthus annuus (common sunflower). RNAcentral describes it as "sRNA HanXRQr2_Chr15g0673761". The stretch from base 1 to 46 matches the Rfam family "Histone 3' UTR stem-loop". Lineage: Eukaryota; Viridiplantae; Streptophyta; Magnoliopsida; Asterales; Asteraceae. The record is from RNAcentral.